CUUUUUGAUAUAUAGAAUUUAAGGUCGGUCCUGCCCACUGAAUGUUAAUUGAAGGGCUGCGGUAUUUUUGACCGUGCAAAGGUAGCAUAAUCAUUAGUAUUAUAAUUUAAUGCUAGUAUGAAUGGUUUGACGAAAUAGUUACUGUCUCUAGUAUAAAUAAUUGAAUUUUACUUUUAAGUUAAAAGGCUUAAAUAUUAAUAAGGGACGAGAAGACCCUAUAGAUCUUUAUAAUGAUUUUAUUAUUAUUUAUUUAGAUUUAUAUUUAUGUGUUAAUAAAGUUAUUAUUUUGUUGGGGUGACAUGAGAAUAUUAAAACUUCUUAAUUUUUAACUUUGAUAGAUGAAUAUAUGAUCCUAUAUUAUGGAAAUGAAGAUUAAGAUACCUUAGGGAUAACAGCGUAAUUUUGUUGGAAAGUUCUUAUUGAUAAUGAAGAUUGCGACCUCGAUGUU
RNAcentral lists this ribosomal RNA (448 nucleotides) under Cardiodactylus javarere. Its description in RNAcentral is "partial large subunit ribosomal RNA". It matches the Rfam family "Archaeal large subunit ribosomal RNA", at positions 1918 to 2602 of the family's 2987-position model. The record is from RNAcentral. Lineage: Eukaryota; Metazoa; Arthropoda; Insecta; Orthoptera; Gryllidae.